RNAcentral lists this ribosomal RNA (301 nucleotides) under uncultured bacterium. RNAcentral describes it as "partial 16S ribosomal RNA". It matches the Rfam family "Bacterial small subunit ribosomal RNA", at positions 509 to 809 of the family's 1533-position model. The record is from RNAcentral.
CAGUCGCCGCGGUAAUACGUAGGUGGCAAGCGUUGUCCGGAAUUAUUGGGCGUAAAGCGCGCGCAGGCGGAUAGGUCAGUCUGUCUUAAAAGUUCGGGGCUUAACCCCGUGAUGGGAUGGAAACUGCCAAUCUAGAGUACCGGAGAGGAAAGUGGAAUUCCUAGUGUAGCGGUGAAAUGCGUAGAUAUUAGGAAGAACACCAGUGGCGAAGGCGACUUUCUGGACGAAAACUGACGCUGAGGCGCGAAAGCCAGGGGAGCGAACGGGAUUAGAUACCCCUGUAGUCCCUGUCUCUUAUACA